Molecule: small nucleolar RNA, 107 nt
Organism: Lathyrus oleraceus (garden pea)
Lineage: Eukaryota; Viridiplantae; Streptophyta; Magnoliopsida; Fabales; Fabaceae
Source: RefSeq, a predicted model, not a curated record
AUUCCAUGGUGUGAACAUUGCCUCAAUAAUUCUUUGAAUCUUUCCUAAGCAUAAAAAAAAUACCCAUCUUCUCCUUGCCUAAAUAAAGUGAUUUCAUUUCUCAAUUU